This 369-nucleotide ribosomal RNA is filed under the name Triticum aestivum (bread wheat). RNAcentral describes it as "partial small subunit ribosomal RNA". Lineage: Eukaryota; Viridiplantae; Streptophyta; Magnoliopsida; Poales; Poaceae. The record is from RNAcentral.
AUGUUGAUGCAAGACUACUUCGCGAAUAGUCCAACCUAUCCGCCGCACCUCUUUCGGAGAAGGUAUCAAAUGUACCGAUCACUCUUCGUAAAAAUUGUGCAAGCUUGCGAGGCCAAUUGCCGAUUUUUCAAUCAAAGGAGAAACACCGCGGGCUUGUUGGGUUUUAGCGCCUACCAAAAAAUCUCCGCAGCUAUGCGCGUGAUUGCAUAUCGUAUUCCGACUGACUAUGCCGACGAGUAUCUUCGCAAUUGUGAAGAUACUACAAUUGAGUUAGUGCGUAGGUUUGCCAAAGUGAUGAUCCGUUUCUUCGGUCCUAUCUAUCUUCGCGCACCCAACAAGAAAGACACAAUAAAAUUUAUGGCAGCAUGA